This 431-nucleotide ribosomal RNA is filed under the name uncultured bacterium. RNAcentral's name for it is "partial 16S ribosomal RNA". It matches the Rfam family "Bacterial small subunit ribosomal RNA", at positions 29 to 507 of the family's 1533-position model. The record is from RNAcentral.
AACGAACGCUGGCGGCAGGCUUAACACAUGCAAGUCGAACGCCCCGCCAGGGGAGUGGCAGACGGGUGAGUAACGCGUGGGAACAUACCCUUUUCUACGGAAUAGCUCUGGGAAACUGGAAUUAAUACCGUAUACGCCCUACGGGGGAAAGAUUUAUCGGGGAAGGAUUGGCCCACGUUGGAUUAGCUAGUUGGUGGGGUAAAGGCCUACCAAGGCGACGAUCCAUAGCUGGUCUGAGAGGAUGAUCAGCCACAUUGGGACUGAGGCACGGCCCAAACUCCUACGGGAGGCAGCAGUGGGGAAUAUUGGACAAUGGGCGCAAGCCUGAUCCAGCCAUGCCGCGUGAGUGAUGAAGGCCUUAGGGUUGUAAAGCUCUUUCACCGAUGAAGAUAAUGACGGUAGUCGGAGAAGAAGCCCCGGCUAACUUCGUG